GCCAAGGUAACUUAUUGGCUCAAGCAGUGGGCUGCAAACCCAUUAAACGAGAGUUCAAAUCUCUCUCUUGGCU
RNAcentral lists this transfer RNA (73 nucleotides) under Candidatus Methanobinarius endosymbioticus. It matches the Rfam family "tRNA". From Rfam's summary of the family: Transfer RNA (tRNA) molecules are approximately 80 nucleotides in length. Their secondary structure includes four short double-helical elements and three loops (D, anti-codon, and T loops). Lineage: Archaea; Methanobacteriati; Methanobacteriota; Methanobacteria; Methanobacteriales; Methanobacteriaceae. The record is from Rfam by way of RNAcentral.